This 301-nucleotide ribosomal RNA is filed under the name uncultured bacterium. RNAcentral describes it as "partial 16S ribosomal RNA". It matches the Rfam family "Bacterial small subunit ribosomal RNA", at positions 509 to 808 of the family's 1533-position model. The record is from RNAcentral.
CAGCCGCGCGGUAAUACGAAGGGGGCUAGCGUUGUUCGGAAUUACUGGGCGUAAAGGGCGCGUAGGCGGCCAUUCAAGUUAGAUGUGAAAGCCCUGGGCUCAACCUAGGAAUUGCAUUUGAUACUGUUUGGCUUGAGUUCGGGAGAGGUGAGUGGAAUUCCCAGUGUAGAGGUGAAAUUCGUAGAUACUCGGAAGAACACCAGUGGCGAAGGCGGCUCACUGGACUGGUAUUGACGCUGAGGUGCGAAAGCGUGGGGAGCAAACAGGAUUAGAUACCCCUGUAGUCCCUGUCUCUUAUACC